RNAcentral lists this ribosomal RNA (410 nucleotides) under Staphylinidae sp. NZAC 03009102. RNAcentral describes it as "eukaryotic LSU rRNA". It matches the Rfam family "Eukaryotic large subunit ribosomal RNA", at positions 602 to 893 of the family's 3401-position model. Lineage: Eukaryota; Metazoa; Arthropoda; Insecta; Coleoptera; Staphylinidae. The record is from RNAcentral.
AAGCACGGACGGUUCAAUCCGGCGGUCGGACCUAGCGCCGACUCCGGACCCGCCCGGCUGCUGGCGGCGGUGUCCUCGGACAGACCCCGAUACACCGGUCGGCAACGCUUUAGCUUUGGGUACUUUCAGGACCCGUCUUGAAACACGGACCAAGGAGUCUAGCAUGUGCGCGAGUCAUUGGGACUAGCGAAACCUAAAGGCGAAAUGAAAGUGAAGGCCGCUUCAGGGCGUGCCGAGGGAGGAUGCGUCGCGCCUAGGCGCGGCGCCGCACUCCCGGGGCGUCUCGUGCUCAUUGCGAGCUGAGGCGCACCCAGAGCGUACACGCUGGGACCCGAAAGAUGGUGAACUAUGCCUGGUCAGGACGAUAGUCWGGGGAAACCCUGAUGGAGGUCCGUAGCGAUUCUGACGUG